UUGUACUUUGGAAAUUUAUAUUUAUUAAAUAAAAACUGAAAAAAAAAGAUAUAGCAUUCACAUACUAGGUAAUUUUAAGUUGGCUUGUGUGGGCACCACUUUUACUUGAAGAAAAGAAUCAAAAAAUCAGGUUAGAGGUCUACAGAGUCAGAUGAUGAAAGAAACAACAAGGAGUUUGAAAUACUAAAGAGUUUGAGUGUUGUUCUGGGCAGCAAAAUGUCUGUAUUUUAGUGAAAAAAUAGUAGUGAUUAAUUGUGAAGAGUGACAAUAGGAAUGUGUGGCCGGAAUCUGGGAAAAUAAGGACAUUGGUAUGAUUUUUUCAGGUAACAGAUGAAGCAGUUGAGGACGAUGAAUUGAGGAGUUGGUUAGAGUGUGAUAGAAAGAAAGGAUGACAUGAGAUCAGGGGUACUGAGGCAAUAGAAUUGACUGUGGCUGGGUAGGAGUAUCAGGUAGGAAGGAAUCCAAGAUGACUCUGUAAGUGUUAAGAACCAUACGAGGAAGAAAUAGUCUGUCCUGUUCUCAGAGUAACCCAAUAAUUUGCUCAAUGUCUGACUCAUAACAAGAAUCCAAAUUACUCAUUGUUAAAGACAUAGCCAUUUCUGGUUUGAGUGACUGGCAGAACACUGGUGGUGCAACCAAAGAUCCAACAAAUAAUGCAGAAUGUAAGAUACUAGCUGAUAUCCACAGGGCUUUUCUAGAAUUAGGCCGUAUUUAUCUAAUUAUUAUAAUAAUGGACUAUUUCUUGAGCUCUUACAAAGUAGGAGGCAGUUGGUUAAGUACUGUGCAUAUGGUAUUGCAAUUAAUGGUCAUGAAUUAUGACUUCAAUGGUCAUAGAGGAAUUCUUCUACAAGAAUGAAUGAUUGCUGUAAUAGCUUUCUUAGGAGUGAAGAAACUCAAACUCUGAAAGGUUAAGGAAACCAGCCAAUGUCACAGAGUUAGUGAGCAGCAGAGUCAGGUUUAGGACCCAGAUCAGUGUGAUUCAAAGCCUACAAUGUUAACCAUGGUGCUUAGAGAUGGAGAAAGAGCAAUUUGCUCAAGUUACACAGUAAGUAAGGGCUUUACAUGGGCUAAAGCAUCUGUUUCUCUUAUAGUGGAUGUUUUACCUAAAAAGGCUAGGUAAAUCUUGAUGAUAUCUUACUACAUCACUCAGACUAUAGAUACUUGCAAGCUAUUUUGGGGAAUAGCCAACACUGUGCUGUUUACUGGAUAGGUACCAGUAAGUUCUGUGCUUCUAUUAAGUCUCCAGGCAAUGAGAUGCCUAGUGCAAUGACCUCACUACUAAUGAUAGUGAGUACCAGAGCACAAGAAGUGAUUUUAUUCUUACUAUUAUUUGCUAAAACCAGAAGUCUUAGCAGCUGUAAUUAAUAUUAGUAAGCAAAAAUUUCACAGAAUACUGGUAUUUUUCACAUGCCUGGCCAAAUCUUAAAAUAUUAAGAAAGAAUAUUGGGUUCAUAACUUGUCAUAUUUGCAUGUGAACACCCAGAAUCAAGUUUCUAUAUCAAUGGAGAAGGAGACUUAUCAAGCAAUAUGGUCUGGGUGACCAUAGAAAAUUUUCCCCUUAAAUAUUUAUCAUUAUUAAGCAACAUAAAGGUUCAUUGACAAAGGACAUUGAAGCAUCACAACAGGGGGUGAGAUUGUCCAGGACUGAAUCUUAUCUAUGGUUGUUUGUCCUAUUUUUUCCUGGAGAUUUCUAGUAUAUUAUCCUCCCUGUUUUCCAGACCAUACUCGCUGGUUGAGUCAAUUCCCUUCAUUGACCAGCAUCUGAUAAACAGUAACUUCACUUUAUUUCCCUGAGCACACUCCCUUUUUCUGCGAAUUUCUUCCCAUAUUGAAAAAGGGUUUUUUUUUAUUCCACAUCCCCUUUCUUGCAAGGCUUCAGAGUGAAUUACAACAGUCAUCAAUAUAAGAAUGCAAAUAAAAAUAGCUUUGAGGGGGUGGGCAUUGUAGAACCUAUGGUAACCCCAUUUUGGAAUGCUGGUUCAAGACCUGUUUUCUCUGCUUCCAAUCCAGCGUCCUGCUCAUGUGCCAGAAAAGGCAGCAGAUGAAUGCCGAAAUACUUGGGCCCCUGCCACCCAUGUUUGAGGCCCAGAUGGAGUCCUGGCUGCUGAUUUAGGCUAGACCCAGCUCUGGCUGUUGUAGUAAUUUAGGGAGUAAACCAGAGAUGGAAGAUCUCUCCUUCCCUGCCAAUCUGCCUAUCAGACAAAUAAUAAGUCAAUAUUUUUUAAAAAAAAUAGCUAUGAUUUACUAAGACCCUGUACUAAAUAAUUUUAUGCCUAGCACUUUGUUUUUAAAGUUUUUUUUUUUUUAUUUCAUUUAUUUUAAAGGCUCAGUGACAGAGAGAGGGGGGAGUGGCAGAGAAAGCUCUUCCAUAUGCUGGUUCAUUCUCCAAAUGCCAGCAACAGCUGGGACUGGGCUGGCUGAAACCAAGGUUCAGAAAACCAUCCAAGUUUACUAUGUGGGUAGCAGAGGUCUAAGUACUUGGUCCAUAAUCUGCUGCCUCCCAGGGUGCACAUUACCAAGAAGCAGGAUCAGAAGCAGAAGUGUGACUGAAUCUCAGGUACUCUGAUACGUGUACCAAAGAUCAGCUUAGCCUGCUAAGCCACAAUGCCUCUUCCUUGGCAUUGUAUUUAAUCCCAGUGAAACUCAGACAAGGUAAUGAUGAUUACAUUGUAGAUCUUUCUGGACUGGCCAGCUGGGCUUCCUUCCUCCAUCCCUAUUUCCUCUCUCUAUCCCUCUCUCCCUUUUUCUUUCCUCUUUUUUGUUUAUCUGAAUUUUUAAAUACUUUAAAAUGAAGCUGGUUUAUUUUGUAAAAGGAAAAAAAAACCUCAAUGUUAUUUUUGAAAAGUAAACUUGUCCUUAUUUGACUGCAUUUCUGCAAAGCAGGGGCCACUGACUCUGAAUUUGAAAUGUAUUGCAAGAACUCAGGUUAGCUGGACAUUUCUGUGAAGACUUCACAAGCACUCCUGAUAGAUUUACUAUGUAGGAAUAUGAGACCAGACUGAGACUGACACUGGGAUUCAUACAUGUUUAUUUACUUGUGUAGCUUUGCAUUGGUUGAAGGGGAUGGCAUGGAGAAGGCUUCCGAGAAGGAAGCAGGGAGGGAAAGGUGAGAACAACUGGGUGCCUAUGACAUGUCUGGCAUAAUCCAGGAACAGAGCUUGAAGGAGAUGUUUAUACAACAGCCUCUGUGAGGCCCAAACGUACGAAGAGGGCAUCCUUGGUGUUCAGAAGAUAGAACCCAGCACAAAACUAUUACAAAUAAGCUCCUACUCACUCUAGAGUGAGAAUAUAAUCAAAUUUCAGCAUUUGGAGGAUGCCUGAGAGUGAAGAAUGUCUGGAGGGACUAGUUCUGGGACAAUCCUUACAAGAGAGCACAUUGUAAGUGUUGAGAGCCGCUCCCCAAAUGUGUUCUUUGUCAUCCAACAUAGAAGGUGGGGAGGGGGCACAAAUGGGGAAGUUAAGGAAUAACAUGAUCAAUGCCACACAGUUCCUGGAGUGAAUGGACUCCUGUAUGACACCUGCCAUUUGUAAAGAGUUAAAAAGUUGAGAUUGGAAUGAGAGUCUUCUUUCAUGUGGAAUAAAGAGGUUAUAAUCUUUAAUGUGACCCUUUGUAUACACAAAGUACAGUAUAAUGUCCAGAAACUGACAUUGUAAGAAAAUAGCCUUAGCUUCCAAUCCUAGAGAUGGAGAAGACUGGGAGGUAUCUAAUACCUUCGGUCAACUCCACAGUCACCCAAAGAGAAAAGUUCUUAGCCUCUGAAUGACUCUUUUGAUGGGACCCACAAGCUCCACCUUUCUUUUAUUAAAGUUGUUUGAUUUCUCUGUCAAUAAUGUUUGCAGACAUGGACAGGGAUAUUUUGUCUGUGAGGUAGAGUGAGGGCUUAAGCUCAGUCUAUGCUAUUCUCAACAUUUAAAAUCAAUUUUCUUUUUUUAUUUUUAUUUAUUUAUUUUUGACAGGCAGAGUGGAUAGUGAGAAUGAGAGACAGAGAGAAAGGUCUUCCUUUGCCGGUGGUUCACCCUCCAAUGGCAGCUGAGGCCAGGGCAAUGCGGCCGACGCACCACGCUGAUCUGAAGCCAGGAGCCAGGUGCUUCUCCUGGUCUCCCAUGUGGGUGCAAGGCCCAAGGACUUGGGCCAUCCUCCACUGCACUCCCUUCCCACAGCAGAGAGUUGGACUGGAAGAGGAGCAACCGGGACAGAAUCCGGCACCCCGACUGGGACUAGAACCCAGGGUGCCAGCAUCACAGGCGGAGGAUUAGCCUAUUGGGCCGCGGCACCGGCCUAAAAUCACUUUUCUCCAAAGAAUGGAUUUCUUCUUUUUUCAUUAGUCACUCAUAUGUACCAUUUGGCCACAUCUAUGACUUCUGGACACGACAAAUGCUCAUCAGGUUCAAUAGAAAUCCUCACAAUUCUAUAUUCUUUAGGCUAAAAUAACCCAAGUGCAGAAAACAAACAAAAUUGUAAUCAAGUUCUCUGAAACAAGUGCUAUGCUAAACAUAUUUCAUUUAGCAUCUCAUUUAACCCAUCCAAUGUCCCUUGAGAGGAAACUUCAUUCUAGUUUUAUAACUUACAAAACUGUACUGUAUAAAAUUGGAGUUCUGCCACCAGAAUCAGGACAUUGACUUGAGUUCAUUCCACAUAGUUACUUGUGUGUUCUGCCAAUUGUUCUUCCAGUUUUUGAAAUUAUUGGGUUCUUCCAGUUGGAUCUCCCUUUUGUAAUUUCACGGAAGUCCAUGAACUUUAGUUCCUAGUUUAUUACCUCUACAUCAAUUAACUGAGAUUGCCACUAAUCUCUGACUGAUUAGAUCACAUGGAAUGUUGCUAAAUUUCAGCUGUAAGAAUUCGAGAAAAUAACUUACCUCUAAAAGAUAUCCAUCUGUCUAAUAUCAAAGCUAUCCUUGCAAUAAUCAUUUCCAGUUGUAAAGUCAUUGACUCCCUUGUCCAGUCCCUUCACAUGUUCUCAGAUAUUUUAACAAUUGCCCAACAUAAUCUAAUCCUCCCUUUAAAAUAAGCCUUCUUGGCUUAUUUUAUUUAUAUAUUUUAUUUUAUUUUAUUUAUUUUAUUAAAAUAAGCCAGCACUGUGUUGUAGCCACUAAAGCCACUUCUUGCAAUGCUGGCAUCCCAUAUGGACAUUGAUUUGUGUCCCAGUUGUUCCAGUUACACAUAGAGAGAAGCAGAGGCCGAGAGAGAGAGAGAGAGAGAGAGAGAGAGAGAGAGAAAGAGAGAAAGAGAAAGUCUUCCAUCUGGUGGUUCACUCCUCAAUUGGCCAUAAUGGCUGGAGCUGCAUGGAUAGAAAGCCAGGAGCCAGGAGCUUCUUCUGGAGCUCCUACGGGGGUGCAGGGAAUUCAAGGAUUUGGGCCAUCUUCUACUGCUUUCUCAGGCCAUAGCAGAGAGUUAGAUUGGAAGUGGUACAGCCAGGACUCAAACCAGCGCCCAUAUGGGAUGCUGGCACUGCAGGCACUAGCUUUACCCCUACACCAGCCCCACUGCUCCACUUCUGAACCUGUUCCCUGCUUGGGAAAGCAGCAGAAGAUGGCCCAUGUCCUUGUUCUCUUGCAUUCAAGUGGGAGAAGGAAAGAAGCCCCUGACUCCUGGCUUUAGCCUGGCCCAGCCCUGACCAUUUUAUCCAUUUGGGGAAUGACCCAGUGGAUAGAAGGUUUCUCUCUCUCUCUCUCUCUCUCUCUCUCUCUCUCCCUAUCCUUCUCUGUAAAUCUGACACUAAAAUAAAUAAGUAAAUAUUUAAAAAUAGAAAUAAUAAAUCAUUUUUUAAUUCCUCCACUAGAACAUAGCCUUGGAUCUAACCAAUUCUCAUUUACAGCCCAAUUUGUUUCCAGAAGAAACAAAUCCUGCAAGCAGCCUUGUUCUCCAUCUCUUUGGCAGACAUUUACACAAAUGGUUCUAUGGGACUGCAUAUUCAUUUUACUUGCUUCCUCCUCCCCCAAUUUGAAUGUAAACUGAUGAAAAUUCUGUGUUCACAGAAGUUACAAAACAAAUGUUUGUUGACUGCUGUAGUUCUUUUGUUACUCAGUACCCCCAAUCCACUCUGCCCUGCCUCUCGCUUGGUCACCUGGUUAAAUAGGCUCUUGAUGAAUGCUUACUAAAAGGAAUAAUGAACCAGCAACAACUAAAUAUAAGGUGCUGUUGUAAUAAUUGGCUUGGUCAGACAGAUAUUUGGAUACCAUGUGGAAUUCUGUGGCAGCAGUGGAAUGCCAUUGGGUAUAUGGAGGUCUGGCAGAGACCAAACUGUGGUUAUAUCUGGGCACAAGAGGGUGAGGGUGAGAGUAGGAAAAAUCGAGCAGGAGUCAUUGUGUCUGGGAUGAAAUGGAGGGUUUGAGAAGGGAAGAAAGAAGCUGAAUAGCAGACUGGUUUGUAAGAUUGGGAAAUCAGGUGUGAAUAAUGGACAACAGCACUAACAAUCAUAAUAAAUGGGUAAUAUUACAUAGCUAAAUGGACAAUUUCAAAUUUGGAUGGCAGCUUAAUUGUUUUUGGAGGUUUCCAAUUCUUCAUUGUCAAUAGGAAACCUAAAGUGAAUUUUGCAGAAGAAAAAAAAAGAAAAUACAAUGAAGUAUUUUUUAAAAGAUUUACUUUAUUUAUUUGAAAGACAGAGUUACAGAGAGAGGAGAGGCAGAGAGAGAGAGAGGGAGGUCUUCCAUCCGAUGGUUCACUCCCUAGAUGGCCACAACGGCUGGAGCUGCGCCGAUCCAAAGCCAGGAGCUUCUUCUGGGUCUCCCACAUGAGUACAAGGGCCCAAGGACUUGGGCCAUUUUCCACUGCUAUCCCAGGCCAUAUCAGAGAGCUGGAUUGGAAGAGGAGCAGUCAGGACUAGAAUUGGUGCCCACAUUGGAUGCUGGCGCUUCAGGCCAGGGCGUUAACCUGCUGCACCACAGUGCCAGCCCCACAAUGAAGUAUUUUUAAAGUAUAAGUAAAGAUAUGAUGGUGGAGUGUCUGGGUGAAGCACAGUGAUGUCUGGAACUGAUUUUGAAAUGGAUUGCAUAUAAGAUAGAUUGAUAGAGCUCUGGAGAUGGCUAUACAUAUAGUAAGACAAGUAAAAGUAAAAUGUUAAUUAUAGAAUUUAGGUGGUAGCUAUGCAUAUGUUCACAAUGAAAUAUAGUUAAACUUUAUUGUUUGAAAAAUGCAUUGUGAGGAAACUGCCUCAGUUCCCUUGAAAAGAAUCAUGUUAUACAAUGAACAGAUAAGAAUUAGUUCACUAAGUAGGAUAUUUCAGUAUAGUACUAAAUCUGUAUAUUUCCACCGGGCUUUUUCCAUCCAUUCACUACAGUGUGAUGACAUAGAGGAAAGAUUUCAGAGACAGACUAACUUGUCCCCAAUUUUUAGCUUUUGAUAAGUCACUAACUUCCCUGUCCCACAAUUCCUUCAUCAAUCAACAACAAAAUAAUGAUUUUAUUUGAUAAUUCUAGGGUUAUUGUGAAAAUCAAAUUAGUAAACGUAAAAUGCUUAGAAAGGGCUACAAAACAAAUAAGCUCUGUGUCAAUGUCACCAGUUCUAGUCAGAAUAACAAUCAUUAAAUCUUCCUAUUUGCCAUUUUGGAAUGGGAAUAAUUAAUCUGCUUUAACAUAGAAGAAACUGAGGGUUUUUCUAAUUUUUUAAAAAUAUUUCAUUUAUUUAUUUGAGAGGUAGCGUUGCAGAUAGCGAGAGGGAGAGACAGAGAGAAAGGUCUUCCGCCUGCUGGUUCACUCCCCAGUGGUUGCAAGGGCCAGAGCUGAGCCAAUCCGAAGCCAGGAGCCAGGAUUUUCCACUGGGUCUCCCGCAUGGGUGCAGACGCACAAGUGCUUGGGCCAUCUUCCACUGCUUUUCCAGGCCACAGCAGAGAGCUGUAUCAGAAGAGGAGCAGCCGAGACUAGAACCAGUGCCCAUAUGGGAUACUGGUGCCACUGACUGAGAAUUAACCUACUGUGCCACAGCGCCGGCCCUGAAACUGAGGUUUGGAAAAACAUUCUUGCCUAAAUUCAUGUAGAUUAGUCAGAGAGUGAUACUGAGUCUCAACUCAAGCCUUCUCUGCCUCUUUCAAAUUUUGCUUCUCUUUGUCUCCCAACUCUGGAUCCAAUGUUUGCCACCUCCAGAUUGGAAAGGAAUGCAAAGUGUUCAGCUGAGUACCUGGUGCAUGAUGAGAACAGAGGCUUUAGAAAGGGUAUAUUGCCCAACAUCCCACAGAACGCAAGUCUGAGUCAUCAACCCAUCUGGUUCCAAAGCCCAUGCAUUUUUAACAACCCUGCAACACUUUCAUGAAUGAAGGGAAGACUGCUUCAAAGCUUAGCCGAAUGAGCCAAGUGGAGAUUUCAGGAGCUGCCAGAUCCAGACACGAGCGGUCUGCUUGCUCGGAACCAAAAUGGAACAAUCAGAGGAAGCGAAGGAUUAGGAAGGAGAAGCCGAAGAUUACAGGCUGAAGUCUGUUAACAGAGCAGAGGCUGCAUGGUGAGUGACAACACUGAUGACAAUAAACUAAAUUGUCACCUAUUGAGUAGCCACCAUUUACAAGAUCCCAUGUACAUUAACUUCCCCAACAAUACUGAGGUUUGGAUGGGAUUUCACACAUUUUUGAAAUUGAAAAAAAAAAGAGAUUGGAUCAAACAGCAAGUCACUCAAAGUCAGAAAUUAAUAAGAGGAAACAGGUUUGCUACACAUGCCUGUCAGAUUCAAAGACCAAGUUUUACCUUGAACUGCCCUGAUGAACCAAUAAUAAAUCCAAAACCUAAAUCCUAAAUAAUAAACAUUGCAUACAAUUCCAAUUUUCAGUUUCUCCUAUACAUACUGGAUAUAGAAGGGAUAAAGAUGCCAAAGAGGGUGUUGCUUUGAAGACAGUGACAGUUCAUAUACUGGUUCUAAAUUUUAGUUAGUAUACACCGAGUUUUUCCCUAAUGACAGAACAAUCAGAAGGUGAUUUUAUUUGUGAAGAGAGAUAGAGUGCGCAGACAGUGAAGGUGAGGGGAGAGAAUGAGGGGGUGAGGGAGAGGAGAAGAAGGGGAGAGGGAGAGAUUCUUCUGGAGCUAAAUUAACAGGCAGAAAUGAAUUGUUGGCAUAGUAUGAACUCAGAGGAGAGUUUAUUGGUAAGCUCUUGCAAGAACACACUGAGAAGAAUAUGGUCUGGAAAAGGAUGAACAACACUGGGUCUGACAGCAGCCUGGUCAUUUGAGCUAAGAAUGGAUACAUCACUGUAAAAAAAUUAGAAUAAUGCAUAGAGAAAAGAAAAUGAUGCUGCAGUUAUACAGAUGUUUAGGUCCUUUGUUUGCAAAUGACAGAAUCCAGCAUAAGGCAGCAUAAAAAAAAAUGUAUAGGAGCUAAUGAAAGCACACAGGAAUUUCUCUUGGAAUAGUAGGAACAGUAAAUACAAAAAUAGGGAAGUAACAUUGCUAAGAUGCAGGAAAAUGGUUAAUUAGAUAAAAGCAUCACUCAAGCAGCUAUAUGGAUCAGAGAAAGGAAUAGUGGAUGCUAAAAUGCCACAAAACUCUUCGCUGUUUUUGCUGAGAUUCGGCUACUUUUCUUCAACAAAGUUAUUGGUUCUCUUAGCUAUGUAAAUAAUAAUGCUAUUUACUGUGAUAGGGGACAUUGGCCAAAGGCAAAUAUGAGACAGGAGAAAUAGAUGAAUGAUAUCUUUAAUUCUGAACAAAUUGGAUUUGAGAUGCCUGUGGGUCCUCCAAGAGAUGUCCAUAAACACGUAGAUGGAUUCAAGUGGAUUUCAGAAGAAAUAUAUUGGAUAGAGUCAUGAAUGAGAAGUCACUAGCACAAAGAUGUCAACUGGAGGUGUAGUAGUGGUAAGGACAUCCAAACAGAACAGGGAAAGAAAUCAAAUAUAUAAACUUAAAAAAAAAAAAAAAAAACAAGUGAAAGCAAGAGUGAUGAGUCAGAAAAAUUAAAAAAAAAAAGUUCAGAUUUCAUAAAAGUAGUCAGAGAGAAGAGGAAAUUAGGAGGCGGAGCACUUUCAUAAUGGGGAGUAAGGACAACUGAAAAUUGGCUUUUCCAUAAAAGGUAAGGAGAAUACUGGAAAAAUCAUCAAAAUAAACUUUUCAGAAUCUUAGAAUUUAAUCUAAAGCUUGAAAAAUUCUGAAGAAUCUUUUUAUUUAUUUAUUUAUUUAUUUGACAGGCAGAGUGGACAGUGAGAGAGAGAGACAGAGAGAAAGGUCUUCCUUUGCCGUUGGUUCACCCUCCAAUGGCUGCUGUGGCCGGCGUGCUGCAGCCGGCGCACGGUGCUGAUCCAAUGGCAGGAGCCAGAUACUUACCCUGGUCUCCCAUGCGGGUGCAGGGCCCAAGCACUUGGGCCAUCCUCCACUGCACUCCCUGGCCACAGCAGCAAGCUGGCCUGGAAGAGGGGCAACUGGGACAGAACCCGGCGCCCCGACCAGGACUAGAACCCGGUGUGCCGAGGCCACAAGGCGGAGGAUUAGCCUAGUGAGCCGCGGUGCCGGCUCUGAAGAAUCUUUAAUAAAAAAAAGCUAAAUGUCAGUAAGAACAAUAUAGAGUGUUGUGGCAUUUUAGCAAACAUUAUUACUAUUUCCUUCUACUCACAUAGCAGCCAUGGAAACCAAUAGCUUUACAAACAUGGUAGCUGCAAAGACUACAAAACUAGGAGCCUCUGAAAGGGACAGAAAGAGAUUGAAGUCUAGAGAUUUCCCAAAAGUCCAAUUCCCAACUUCUACUAUAUUUUUUAUGUAGUAACUCAGUGGAAUACUCCAUAGGCAUUGUCUGUAUUUGACCCAAGGUGGAUCUUGGUGACUGGAAAAAGCUAUGUGGCCAGGGUGUUUGCCAAAAACAACCAAUUGACCAUAUUUGUUUUUUGUUUCAACAUUUUUUUUUUUGGACAGGCAGAGUGGACAGUGAGAGAGAGACAGAGAGAAAGAGAGAAAGGUCUUCCUUUUGCCAUUGGUUCACCCUCCAAUGGCCGCCGCGGCCGGCGCAAUGCGGCCGGUGCAUCACACUGAUCUGAAGCCAGGAGCCAUGGGGCCUCUCCUGGUCUCCCAUGGGGUGCAGGGCCCAAGCACUUGGGCCAUCCUCCACUGCACUCCCUGGCCACAGCAGAGAGCUGGCCUGGAAGAGGGGCAACCGAGACAGAAUCCGGUGCCCCGACCGGGACUAGAACCUGGGGUGCUAGCGCCUCAGGCGGAGGAUUAGCCUAGUGAGCUGCAGCACCGGCAGUUUCUUAGAUUUGACACCCAAAACAAGUGGAAGUAGAAUAAGAAGGCAUACUGGAAAAAGAAAAAUAUCAUAUAAUUUCCCUGAUUUUAAUAACUAAUAUACAGCAUAUAAAAAUAAUGUACAUGAAUGACAUUUUGAGAUUUUAUUAUUAUUUACAGUCCUUGAAUAUACUCCUAAAGAACAA
Oryctolagus cuniculus (rabbit) is the source of this 11330-nucleotide non-coding RNA. NCBI's taxonomy places the organism in Eukaryota, Metazoa, Chordata, Mammalia, Lagomorpha, Leporidae. The record is from RefSeq and is a predicted model, not a curated record.